AGUGAACGCUGGCGGUAGGCCUAACACAUGCAAGUCGAACGGCAGCACAGUAAGAGCUUGCUCUUACGGGUGGCGAGUGGCGGACGGGUGAGGCAUACAUCGGAAUCUACUUUUUCGUGGGGGAUAACGUAGGGAAACUUACGCUCAUACCGCAUACGACCUACGGGUGAAAGCAUGGGAUCUUCGGACCUUGCGCGAUUGAAUGAGCCGAUGUCGGAUUAGCUAGUUGGCGGGGUAAAGGCCCACCAAGGCGACCAUCCGUAGCUGGUCUGAGAGGAUGAUCAGCCACACUGGAACUGAGACACAGUCCAGACUCCUACGGGAGGCAGCAGUGGGGAAUAUUGGACGAUGGGCGCGAGCCUGAUCCAGCCAUACCGCGUGGGUGAAGAAGGCCUUCGGGUUGUAAAGCCCUUUUGUUGGGAAAGAAAAGCAGCAGGUUAAUACCCCGCUGUUCUGACGGUACCCAAAGAAUAAGCACCGGCUAACUUCGUG
This 492-nucleotide ribosomal RNA is filed under the name uncultured bacterium. Its description in RNAcentral is "partial 16S ribosomal RNA". It matches the Rfam family "Bacterial small subunit ribosomal RNA", at positions 29 to 507 of the family's 1533-position model. The record is from RNAcentral.